AUGGAACCAUGAGGGUGGAACCAUGAUGAUGGAUCCAUGAGGAUGGAACCAUGAGGGUGGAUCCAUGAGGGUGGUACCAUGAGGGUGGAACCAUGAUGAUGGAACCAUGAGGGUGGUACCAAGGGAAUGGAACCAUGAUGAUGGAUCCAUGAGGAUGGAACAAUGGGGAUGGAUCCAUGAGGCAGCCUGAGGUUAGAUCUUCAACACUACUGACCAAACACCAUCACUCUGGCCCUAGCAUGUGUGUGUUAACGUGUUUUAACGUGUGUGUGUGUGUGUGUGUGUGUGUGUGUGUGUGUGUGUGUGUGUGUGUGUGUGUGUGUGUGUGUGGUAUCGUGGUGUGAAAAAUAAUUGUUACUUUUUUUGCAAUUUAAAACGAUUAAAAGUUGCCGGGGACAACAUUUCCCUGGACCCUAGGCUACUGAAAAUGUUCCCGGACCCUAGGCUACUGAAAAUGUUCCCGGACCCUAGGCUACUGAAAAUGUUCCCUGACCCUAGGCUACUGAAAAUGUUCCCGGACCCUCGGCUACUGAAAAUGUUCCCAGACCCUAGGCUACUGAAAAUGUUCCCAGACCCUAGGCUACUGAAAAUGUUCCCAGACCCUCGGCUACUGAAAAGGUUCCCAGACCCUAGGCUACUGAAAAUGUUCCCAGACCCUAGGCUACUGAAAAUGCUACUGAAAAUGUUCCCAGACCCUCGGCUACUGAAAAUGUUCCCUGACCCUAGGCUACUGAAAAUGUUCCCGGACCCUAGGCUACUGAAAAUGUUCCCCGGACCCUCCCGAUUUACAAAUUAAUCAGUGUGUGUGUGUGUGUGUGUGUGUGUGUGUGUGUGUGUGUGUGUGUGUGUGUGUGUGUGUGUGUGUGUGUGUGUGUGUGUGUGUGUGUGUGUGUGUGUGUGUGUGUGUGUUUGUCUAAGAAACAACUUCCUGCUAUGAAAAAGGGUGAAAGGUCACAAACCACGGUUUGGGCAGAUUAGAAGUGUUGGGUCCUUCCUGGUAUGAAAAAGGGUGAAAGGUCACAAACCCGGGUUUGGGCAGAAUAGAAGCGUUGGUUUCUAUUAUUGAUGUUACUAUGUGGACCGGACUGGGUCUGUGUUUUUAUUUUAUUUACCACAACUAGAACCCGUGGAACCGUCUAGACGUGUUGUUUCCUUGUGAUGAGAUUGCUGUGGAACAGGAUUAUUAUUAUUAUUGUUAUUGUUAUUAUUAUUAUGCAUCUGAUCAUCUAUUACUCUAAAUGACGACGAGCAAUAAAGUUGAGAUCCUUUUUUCAAAUAUAUAUAUUGCAUGUUUUACUAAAAAACGUUGGUCUUAGUCAAUAAAAAGAGUUUUUAAGACA
Oncorhynchus tshawytscha (Chinook salmon) is the source of this 1340-nucleotide long non-coding RNA. Lineage: Eukaryota; Metazoa; Chordata; Actinopteri; Salmoniformes; Salmonidae. The record is from Ensembl.